UACGUAGGGUGCGAGCGUUGUCCGGAAUUAUUGGGCGUAAAGGGCUCGUAGGCGGUCCAUCGCGUCGGGUGUGAAAAGCUGGGGCUUAACCCCAGUCCUGCUUUCGAUACGGGUGGACUAGAGGUAUGCAGGGGAGAAUGGAAUUCCUGGUGUAGCGGUGAAAUGCGCAGAUAUCAGGAGGAACGCCGGUGGCGAAGGCGGUUCUCUGGGCAUUACCUGACGCUGAGGAGCGAAAGCAUGGGGAGCAAACAGG
This 253-nucleotide ribosomal RNA is filed under the name uncultured bacterium. RNAcentral's name for it is "partial 16S ribosomal RNA". It matches the Rfam family "Bacterial small subunit ribosomal RNA", at positions 524 to 776 of the family's 1533-position model. The record is from RNAcentral.